Molecule: ribosomal RNA, 468 nt
Filed under: uncultured bacterium
Lineage: Bacteria
Description: partial 16S ribosomal RNA
Rfam family: Bacterial small subunit ribosomal RNA
Source: RNAcentral
GACGAACGCUGGCGGCGUGCUUAACACAUGCAAGUCGAACGGAAAGGCCCUGCUUUUGUGGGGUGCUCGAGUGGCGAACGGGUGAGUAACACGUGAGUAACCUGCCCUUGACUUUGGGAUAACUUCAGGAAACUGGGGCUAAUACCGGAUAGGAGCUCCUGCUGCAUGGUGGGGGUGGGAAAGUUUCGGCGGUUGGGGAUGGACGCGCGGCUUAUCAGCGUGUUGGUGGGGUAGUGGCUUACCAAGGCUUUGACGGGUAGCCGGCCUGAGAGGGUGACCGGCCACAUUGGGACUGAGAUACGGCCCAGACUCCUACGGGAGGCAGCAGUGGGGAAUAGUGCACAAUGGGCGGAAGCCUGAUGCAGCAACGCCGCGUGCGGGAUGACGGCCUUCGGGUUGUAAACCGCUUUCGCCUGUGACGAAGCGUGAGUGACGGUAAUGGGUAAAGAAGCACCGGCUAACUACGUG